CACGUAGGGUGCGAGCGUUGUCCGGAAUUAUUGGGCGUAAAGAGCUCGUAGGCGGUGUGUCGCGUCGGCCGUGAAAACCUGCAGCUUAGCUGUGGGCGUGCGGUCGAUACGGGCAUCACUGGAGUUCGGCAGGGGAGACUGGAAUUCCUGGUGUAGCGGUGAAAUGCGCAGAUAUCAGGAGGAACACCGGUGGCGAAGGCGGGUCUCUGGGCCGAUACUGACACUGAGGAGCGAAAGCGUGGGGAGCGAACAGG
Molecule: ribosomal RNA, 254 nt
Filed under: uncultured bacterium
Lineage: Bacteria
Description: partial 16S ribosomal RNA
Rfam family: Bacterial small subunit ribosomal RNA
Source: RNAcentral